This 762-nucleotide ribosomal RNA is filed under the name uncultured Peptostreptococcus sp. Its description in RNAcentral is "bacterial SSU rRNA". It matches the Rfam family "Bacterial small subunit ribosomal RNA", at positions 28 to 776 of the family's 1533-position model. Lineage: Bacteria; Bacillati; Bacillota; Clostridia; Peptostreptococcales; Peptostreptococcaceae. The record is from RNAcentral.
GAUGAACGCUGGCGGCGUGCCUAACACAUGCAAGUCGAGCGAGGGUUUGCUCAGUAUUGAGUAUUCUAAGAUUAGAAUGUUCAAUUCUGAGCAAAACCAAGCGGCGGACGGGUGAGUAACGCGUGGGUAACCUGCCCUAUACACAUGGAUAACAUACUGAAAAGUUUACUAAUACAUGAUAAUAUAUAUUUGCGGCAUCGCAGAUAUAUCAAAGUGUUAGCGGUAUAGGAUGGACCCGCGUCUGAUUAGCUAGUUGGUGAGAUAACUGCCCACCAAGGCGACGAUCAGUAGCCGACCUGAGAGGGUGAUCGGCCACAUUGGAACUGAGACACGGUCCAAACUCCUACGGGAGGCAGCAGUGGGGAAUAUUGCACAAUGGGCGAAAGCCUGAUGCAGCAACGCCGCGUGAACGAUGAAGGUCUUCGGAUCGUAAAGUUCUGUUGCAGGGGAAGAUAAUGACGGUACCCUGUGAGGAAGCCCCGGCUAACUACGUGCCAGCAGCCGCGGUAAUACGUAGGGGGCUAGCGUUAUCCGGAUUUACUGGGCGUAAAGGGUGCGUAGGUGGUCCUUCAAGUCGGUGGUUAAAGGCUACGGCUCAACCGUAGUAAGCCGCCGAAACUGGAGGACUUGAGUGCAGGAGAGGAAAGUGGAAUUCCCAGUGUAGCGGUGAAAUGCGUAGAUAUUGGGAGGAACACCAGUAGCGAAGGCGGCUUUCUGGACUGCAACUGACACUGAGGCACGAAAGCGUGGGUAGCAAACAGG